Molecule: ribosomal RNA, 16 nt
Filed under: Dendrobium officinale
Lineage: Eukaryota; Viridiplantae; Streptophyta; Magnoliopsida; Asparagales; Orchidaceae
Description: partial 18S ribosomal RNA
Source: RNAcentral
GGGCGGGGGAGUCUUG